AAAGGGGCUUCGGCCCUGAGUAAAGUGGCGCACGGGUGAGUAACACGUGGGUAACCUGCCUCUGAGAUCGGGAUAACCUGUCGAAAGACGGGCUAAUACCGGAUAAGACCACAAUUCCUGCGGGGAUCGAGGUCAAAGGUAGCCUCUAUUUAUAAGCUAUCACUUAGAGAUGGGCCUGCGUACCAUUAGCUAGUUGGUAGGGUAACGGCCUACCAAGGCUAAGAUGGUUAGCUGGUCUGAGAGGAUGAUCAGCCACACUGGAACUGAGACACGGUCCAGACUCCUACGGGAGGCAGCAGUGGGGAAUAUUGCGCAAUGGGCGAAAGCCUGACGCAGCAACGCCGCGUGGGUGAUGAAGGCCUUCGGG
Molecule: ribosomal RNA, 367 nt
Filed under: uncultured bacterium
Lineage: Bacteria
Description: bacterial SSU rRNA
Rfam family: Bacterial small subunit ribosomal RNA
Source: RNAcentral